This 521-nucleotide ribosomal RNA is filed under the name uncultured bacterium. RNAcentral's name for it is "partial 16S ribosomal RNA". It matches the Rfam family "Bacterial small subunit ribosomal RNA", at positions 355 to 871 of the family's 1533-position model. The record is from RNAcentral.
UGGGGAAUUUUGGACAAUGGGCGAAAGCCUGAUCCAGCCAUGCCGCGUGCAGGAUGAAGGCCCUCGGGUUGUAAACUGCUUUUGUACGGAACGAAAAGCCUCUUUCUAAUAAAGAGAGGUCAUGACGGUACCGUAAGAAUAAGCACCGGCUAACUACGUGCCAGCAGCCGCGGUAAUACGUAGGGUGCAAGCGUUAAUCGGAAUUACUGGGCGUAAAGCGUGCGCAGGCGGUUUUGUAAGACAGAGGUGAAAUCCCCGGGCUCAACCUGGGAACUGCCUUUGUGACUGCAAGGCUGGAGUGCGGCAGAGGGGGAUGGAAUUCCGCGUGUAGCAGUGAAAUGCGUGAUAUGCGGAGGAACACCGAUGGCGAAGGCAAUCCCCUGGGCUGCACUGACGCUCAUGCACGAAAGCGUGGGGAGCAAACAGGAUUAGAUACCCUGGUAGUCCACGCCCUAAACGAUGUCAACUGGUUGUUGGGUCUUCACUGACUCAGUAACAAAGCUAACGCGUGAAGUUGACCG